UAAACCGAGAAUAAAAGCCUCCAGUAACGAGUCCAGACAUGGUCAAUCAGUCUCUCUGCAGUGCACCUCAGUCUGCACCUUCCAAGACCUGGAGGUCACCUGGUUCAGAGAUGGCCACGCCCUCCCAGAGUCUGGACACGCCCUCCAGCUCGGCCCUCUGACCGCAGGGGAUUCUGGGAACUACACCUGCGCUCUGAAGAACAACACGAAGACACAGUCUGAUCUGUUCAGGCUGCAGGUGGAGGACGGAGGCGGAGACGGAGAUGGAGACGGAGACGGUGCUGAUGGUGGAAGUCACCUGGUGCUGAUUGUCCGCCUGCUUGUGUUCGGUCUGAUCACCUUGAUCGUCGUCGCGGUUGCAUCCGUCGUCAUCUGGAGGACCUGCCGUUGUCAUGGCAACAGCAGAGAGAACUGAGGAACACCUGGAAGUACAGGUGAGUCACGUCACGUGACACCUGGACACAGAUACCUGGACACAGACAACUGGACACCUGGACACCUGGAAAAAGACAGAGACACCUGGACACCUGGGAAUAGACACCUGAACACGCAACAUCUGGACACCUGGACUCCUGGAUACAGACACCUGGACGCGCAACAUCUGGACACAGACACCAGGGGCCUCAUGAACAAAACGUGCGUGGAUUUCAAUGUGAAUCCGUGAGUGGAAUUUUUGGGUAAAAUCCUUUUUUGAAAUUGAAAUUGAAAUUGAAUUUUUGAAAUU
Molecule: long non-coding RNA, 724 nt
Organism: Cololabis saira (Pacific saury)
Lineage: Eukaryota; Metazoa; Chordata; Actinopteri; Beloniformes; Belonidae
Exons: 3
Source: RefSeq, a predicted model, not a curated record